RNAcentral lists this long non-coding RNA (372 nucleotides) under Pandoravirus dulcis. Its description in RNAcentral is "putative ncRNA". The record is from RNAcentral.
CUGGUCGUCCUUUUCCUCCCAGAGACUGCCGAACGGACGCGCUCGUCGGAUUUAGGGCGGCGUCGCGGUGGCCACCUUUUUUUGUCUUUUUUUCUUCCGCCGCUACGCUGCCCUUUGUGUCUAGUCGUCGUCCUAGGCCAGAGCAAAAAGCCGACGCGCAAAAUACACCGCGCGCAAAAGUCGCGACGACGGCCAGCCAAAAGACGAGAGAGACCAGAAAAAAAAGACGACUCGCGUGAGAACAAAAAGAGAGAGAGAGCCCCUGUGACCCACAAAAGCGCUGCAAGCCCGUCAACGGCCAUGCCAACUAUGUAGUGUAAAGAUAAAAAAAGGACACCAUUUCUCCAGUUCAUUUUUUACGAGCCGGCUUGC